AUGUGAUUGUGGUGGCAGACGGGAGCCGCAGGACUGAGGCCGGUACUUCAGCCAUUGGUGCCUUUCAAGUUUGGAACCAUCUGUCCUCUCUUUCUUCUGCCAACGGCAGCCAACUCUGUGGUUCUUUUUCAUCCCACAGCUCCAAAUUCCCAAGAGAUGUGUGCAGAGAGCGGUCACACCCUCAUCCCUCACCCACAGGUAGAAACUUGGGGUUUGAGACAAAAUGUCUGAUUUUUUAAAUCUUUUUUUACUUGAGAGCAUUUUGGGGCUCAGCUAGCAUAUGGGCCACAUGGGCUGCAGCCAGAGCAGGGAGUUUGUCAUCGAGACAGUAGGAGAUGUUAGAAUGAGAUGGAGCUGAGAGCCAAGCAGAAGGAGGAAGGGCUUAGGUGACUAAUCUGAAAAGAACAGGAGAAAUGUCAAAACUGGGAGCAGAUGCAGAAAUCUGAGAACCAGGGAGACGAGAGCAGGCAUGGCUGGCACAGAGGAAACGAGGAGGCUCUAGCACAAUCUCCUGGAACAGGGUUUGCAGACUUCUUCCAGGAUCCACGCCGGGCCACAGCAGCAGUGAGGCUGACAAUGAAAGAGCGACAAGACGCCGAGAUGGGCAAGCUGAUAGCAAAGUGGGACCAGCUCUGAAGAGAAACAGAGAACUGUGGGGUGAAGCCAGACAUAGGAGGCAAGCUGGCGGAUACCCAGAGCAAGGAAGUGGCAAGGACUGAAGGACAAUGGAGAGGAGCUUCAUAGGAAACCAUUCUCACCCCUUCAGAGGUCUCCUCAGCUCAGGAUGGGGCCUUAGUCAGUCCUCAGAGGUGCGGGAAGAGCCCAGAACCUUAGCACGGUGGAGCCUGGCUGAGCCUGGUUGGGGCCCUGAACAACUUCCUUCUGGUUGACACCCAAGGCCACAGAUGCCCGACUAUGAUGACUACAGGCAAGACCCAGUGAGGUGUGGAUCCCGAGAACAGUUCCUGAUGAACACCCUGCACACCAAUUCCAUUUUUAGAGCUGCUUCCAGAAGAAUCUGACCUGCAACAGCUCUGUAUGAAAGCAUGGCAUUGCUAAUAAACUGUCUAAUGAAGGAAAAUAAGCUAUCUAACAGGGAAAAAAAAAAGAAGAUCACAGCCCUUUGUUUGAUUAACCACCUGGGGCUUAACUCAUUGUCUUUAAGAUUAACCAUCCAUGGGCUCUCUAAGAGUUUGUUUUCAUAGCACUUGAGAAGGACUGAGCAGAUAGGAGGAGUGGGGCCUCCCAGUUUCUGCCAUAACCACAUUUCAAGGACCCUGAUGAAGCCAGCCUCACAGAGAAGAGAGGGAGAAAAAAAGGAAAAAGAGAAACAGCUGCUUCACAGCUGUCUUCUGCUAUCAGCUUGCAACAGUAACUUUUUUUUACCCUUCACCCCCAAUAAAUACCCCAACCCCUUACCCUCA
Molecule: non-coding RNA, 1424 nt
Organism: Microcebus murinus (gray mouse lemur)
Lineage: Eukaryota; Metazoa; Chordata; Mammalia; Primates; Cheirogaleidae
Source: RefSeq, a predicted model, not a curated record